CCUACGGGAGGCAGCAGUGAGGAAUAUUGGUCAAUGGGCGGGAGCCUGAACCAGCCAAGUCGCGUGAGGGAAGACGGUCCUAUGGAUUGUAAACCUCUUUAGGCGGGGAGCAAUGCCGGGCACGUGUGCCCGGCGGGAGAGUACCCGCAGAAUAAGCCUCGGCUAACUCCGUGCCAGCAGCCGCGGUAAUACGGAGGAUGCGGGCGUUAUCCGGAUUUAUUGGGUUGAAAGGGUGGGUCGGCGGAUUUUUAAGUCAGCGGUAAAAGGUCCGGGCUGAACCCGGGCCGGCCGUUGAAACUGGGGAUAUGGAGUGGGCGAGAAGUAGGCGGAAUGCGUGGGGUAGCGGUGAAAUGCAUAGAUAGCACGCAGAACUCCGAUUGCGAAGGCAGCAUACCGGCGCCCGACUGACGCUGAGGCACGAAACCGUGGGGAUCGAACAGGAUUAGAUACCCUAGUAGGC
Molecule: ribosomal RNA, 460 nt
Filed under: uncultured bacterium
Lineage: Bacteria
Description: partial 16S ribosomal RNA
Rfam family: Bacterial small subunit ribosomal RNA
Source: RNAcentral